CUUUAAAUUUAAAGAAUUUGGCGGUAUUUUAGUCUAGUUAGAGGAACCUGUUUUAUAAAUUGAUACAACACGUAAUAUCUUACUAAUUUUAUUAAAAGUUUGUAUACCGUCAUUAUUAGAUAAUUUUUAUAGAAUAAAUUAUUGAAACUAAAAGAUUAAAUAUAUUAGAUCAAGGUGCAGCCUAUAAGUUAGGGAGAAUGGGUUACAAUAAAAUUUAUUUAAACGGAUUGACGGAUGAAAAUAGUCAUGAAGGUGGAUUUAAUUGUAAUAGAAGUUUAAUAAGUUUUUAUGGUAUAAGCACUAAGUUAUGUACAUAUUCGCCCG
RNAcentral lists this ribosomal RNA (324 nucleotides) under Gramastacus insolitus. Its description in RNAcentral is "partial 12S ribosomal RNA". Lineage: Eukaryota; Metazoa; Arthropoda; Malacostraca; Decapoda; Parastacidae. The record is from RNAcentral.